GCUGAUUGUAUUGAGAACUUCGCUGAGGUUUCACCGCAUUAAUACUGACACUUGUAAAUGAAGUAUCAAGUAAGGUUAGCUCAUUUAUUAGCAUGGAACGCUGUGCUGAUUCCUUCUUUUUCCACUUUUCUUGACAUAGUAAAUUCCAGCCCCCGCCUCCAAAACCACUCUACAUAAACAACAGUGCGCGACUUUCCCACUUUGUUCCCUUGAUGACUCGAACUUCCAACCUCUUUGUUGGAAUUAGAGUGUUCUCGCCACUGGAGCAACCUCAACUGUCUUUAAUAUGAUAACAUUGUUACUCUCUUUGUCUUUCUGCUUUAUCUGAGAGGUGCUGGAUCUAUUUGUUUGCAGGGAUUUACGUGCAUCAGCUGUUAAUACAGGUUUUGGAGUUUGGACCUUACGACACUUGGAUUGUGCAUUACCUGUUUUUCAUUUCACAAAGAGAUGAAGAGGCAGAAAUCUCUUUUUCUUUAUUUUUGCCUACUUGUCGUCGUCUUGCCCAGUGUAGCGGUUCCUCAAAGGCUGUGGCAAAUCGUUUCAGUGGUUUUUAAUUAUUCUCCUUUGGCUCAUAGAAGGGUCCUAAGGCAUUAUUUUCUUAUAGGAAUUUUCUGGAUCUAUUUUUUUUUGCAGGGAUUUACGUGCAUCAGCUGUUAAUACAGGUUUUGAAGUUUGGACCUUACGACACUUGGAUUGUGCACUACCUGUUUUUCAUUUCACAAAGAGAUGAAGAGGCAGAAAUCUCUU
RNAcentral lists this long non-coding RNA (747 nucleotides) under Nicotiana benthamiana. RNAcentral's name for it is "long non-coding RNA (NBEN_LNC016815)". The record is from RNAcentral. Lineage: Eukaryota; Viridiplantae; Streptophyta; Magnoliopsida; Solanales; Solanaceae.